UCUCCGUAGGUGAACCUUCGGAGGGAUCAUUACUGAGUGAGGGCUUCGGUCCGACCUCCAACCCUUUGUGAACCAAACUUGUUGCUUCGGGGGCGACCCUGCCGACGACUUUGUCGCCGGGCGCCCCCGGAGGCCUUCAAACACUGCAUCUUUGCGUCGGAGUUUAAGUAAAUUAAACAAAACUUUCAACAACGGAUCUCUUGGUUCUGGCAUCGAUGAAGAACGCAGC
Molecule: unclassified non-coding RNA, 229 nt
Filed under: uncultured fungus
Lineage: Eukaryota; Fungi
Description: sequence contains ITS1, 5.8S rRNA gene
Rfam family: 5.8S ribosomal RNA (bases 181-229)
Source: RNAcentral